UUUUUUUUUCUGUUUCUGCAUGAUAUAUGGACAUCAAUCUCUACCAGAAACAUUGGUUUCAAACGUAAAAAAAAUUGGUUUCAAAUCAGGCGGUUCUAACCAGGAAUUAGCUCAUUCUUGUCACUUUUAUUAAGUCGAACUAGGGCAAUAAUACGUGGGUGCAUUUGCGUCCGAGUACAAAAGUCCAAACCAGCCCGAUCGAAAACAAAAUGCAUGCACGGCCAAGGGAAGGGAUCCGACCUACGUUCAUUAUUGGUCGGGUACGGGGAAGGUCGGACCCAGAUAGACUCACAUCAUGUCGCGCUAGUCUUUUUUUUUUGGAAACCGCCCUCAUGGCAUUUUAUUGAUUAUUAGUAAGCGGUACAACUUCUGUCGCGCUAGUCCGCCCCCACGAAACGCACCCUGCGCCAAGUGGACGAAUCGCAGAGCCAUGUGACGACGGGACCACCCAUGCUCCCACCUCCAAGGGUCCUCACCUACGUGGCUAAAGCACAGGCGAGGCUUGGCUUUUCUCCCGUGCAACGGGGGCCCGCGAGAGCUUGGAGGCUUGUGGAGCGCAUGCAUGGAGCCACGUACCACGUCUAGAAUCUCAAAAAGGAAGAGAAAAAAAUUACGACGUCUAAAAAUGUAGCCAUUGGUGUGUCCUGGCCCUCCCUGCUCCACCCCCACCUACCGAGUAGUAGUAUUUUUUUGCCAUUGGCUUUGGAUACUCUAACUAAGUUAGAGGCUAGAGUUAGAUUCUAACUCUAAACUAACCUUGAACUAACUUUAACCAAAGUGGUGUUUGGAUAGCAAAGUUAGAUUGACAAUAAAUGCUCCUUCUCAAUCAUUUGGCUACUUUAGACCCUAUUUUCUGCCGGAUUUGAUGUGGCCGGCUCUUGUGUGGCCUCCUCCCGCUCACAAUUGACAUAAACGAAUCAUGCUUACAAAUCAAGCAUGCAAAACUUGAUAAAAAAAAUUGUCCAUACAAAUGAGAUGUCCCACUUAAACAUAACUUAAACAUACAAGUUGUCAAUCGAAGCUUCAAAAAAUAUUACACUCCAUAAAAUAAAGCAUGAGCUAACUCAUCACGGAAGGCAUUCAUGUUGAUAUCUUCAACAAGAGGUUCGUCUUCUGGCCAUGCGGAUGCAGAAGAACUAGGCAUUGGGUUAUAAUUUUCAUCUGCAUCACAAGCAUCAAAUUCCCUAUCCGCAAUUCUGCUCUCUCGAAUGAAAUUAUGAAGAGCCAUAUAGGCAACAAUAAUUCUACUUUGCUUGUCCUCUGGAAAUUUUGGCAUGUUCAAUAAAAUCCUAAAUUUCAUCUUCAACACUCCAAAUGAUCGCUCAACGACAUUCCUAACUUUGGCAUGUGCAUGGUUGAAGGUUUCUUUCAUACCUUGUGGCGGCGGGCCAUUUUGCCAUUGUUGCACAUGGUACCUUGUACAUCUGUAUGGUGAAAGGUAGCCUGGCCGGUUUGGGUAUCCCGCAUCAACCACAUAAUACUUCCCUACAUAUUAUGAAAGGCAUAGAAUGAGACUUAGAUGAACUAGUGUAGUUAGAUAAAAAAUAUUGCAAGACAGUUCAAGUCGCAAACUUGGUGGUGGAUGUGGAAAUUUGUCUUGAUGAGUAGUUACGGCAUCUUUGAAAACUCUCAUGUCAUGUGCUGAACCAGGCCAUCCCGACAUCACAAAUGUAAAUCUCAUGUCGAAAUCACAAACAGCAAGCACAUUCUGACUGGUUUCAUUGUGCCUGUUCAAGUAUGGAACCCUCUUACUCUUAUCCACCACAACAUUCACAUGUGUCCCAUCUAUAGCUCCUAUGCAGUCAUAGAAGUGUGGCCAGAAUACUGGAUUUUCUAAGUUUGGGUGCACCUCUGAAAAUGUUGGAUCCUUAGGUGCAAUUAUGUCAUGUGCUAACCUGAGGAGGCAUGCCAAAACUCUAUUAAAUGUCCUACUUACUGUCUCCAUAGACCUUCUGAAACGGUUCUCAGCCUGUCUAACUGACUGUGGUGAUCCAACAAUCCAUAAAAACAUAGCUAGAGCCUCUACAGAUGUCAUUUUUGUAGUGGACUUCAAGCCAUAUGAUUGCACCAAAGUAUUAUGUAGCCUAUUAAACAAAGGUCUCUCAACCCUAAACAUGUUAUAGCAUUGGGUAUCUCGGGCUAGUGUCUCCUGCACCCAAUCCAAACCAGAAUAUCCACUGACCCUCCUAGGUAGUUUCACAAAGUAGUUAUCAGAGUACAUACCCAAGAUAGGAACCAACUUCAAGAUUAAAUUCUCGGACUGCACCAAAUUGUUGCGGCACAUGGAUAUGAUCUCAUCCUCACUUGUGCUACCUCCAUCAUAUUCUUCUUCCUCAGUCAUGGGGACAUGAUCUUCUUCCUGCUUCAACACAUGUACCAAAUCGUCAACACAUAGCAUAAAACUUGAAGGAAUGUAAGCAAAUGAAAUUAAUUCGGCCCGCAGAUAAAACAAAAUAGGUUCAACACAAAUAAUAGUUCAACGCCUCACAAACACAUGACAGGUUCAACAUACAACAAUUUAAAUAGGUUCAACAUCUUAACACACACUUCCCAACUACUCCAAAUUGUUGUCUCUGCACCAUUUCUUGAAGUAACCCAACCUAAGCUCAGGAGUUAAUUGGCCACAAAAGAACUCCCUUUGGUACUCCGUUUCGAACAUCUUGGACAUAGCAUAGACAGAGUCAACCAUUUGCUGAACACCGCACUCAAAUGCCAGCUCCUGACACCUCUUCACAGAAAAUGCAACCUUCUCAUUUGCACGUUUCUGCAUUUGCUUAGUGUUGGCUGCCGAACGUUGCCGCCACUGAACGCCGUGCCAGUGCGCUGGUUACGGCGGCUGGGUGCCGCGGCGGCCGAGUUGGCGCGCUGCCGAACACCGCCGCCUGCCCCCGACGACGACCCGCCAAGGAACACGCCACCGUUUCGUCCUCCGCGACCGGCUGCCGCCGCCGAGGAGCCGCCGAAGUUCAGUCGCCGGGCGUAGGGUGGGCGAUAGGGAGGGAGCCCGGAGCCCCUGACGCGCCCAGGGAGGAGCUCGUCAUCAUCGCUCUGGAGGAAGGCUCCGUAGAGCCCAAGCCCCGGGAACCCCUCCAACACCGGUGCUUGCGAGUUGAGGUCGAGACCGGCAUGGGUAGCAGGGCCGCUUGCCGAUGGCUGCGAACCCCAAACGUCGAAGCCGUCUCCAUCCAUCGCGGGUGCUCUACUCCAAGCUAUACUACCUGCACCAGAAGAGAAGAAUCAGUAGCACAUCCAGGAAAGCACAAUGGAAACACGCAGAAAGAAGAGAGUAAGGAGACCGGAGUAAUAUUCGGGAACACAUGAAAAGAUGGAUAAAAUAUAUAGGUUAAGAUAACCAACUUCUACGACAAACAACUAUACAUAGGAUUGUGAUACACAGGAC
This 3400-nucleotide long non-coding RNA is filed under the name Triticum aestivum (bread wheat). RNAcentral describes it as "long non-coding RNA (TAES_LNC020798)". Lineage: Eukaryota; Viridiplantae; Streptophyta; Magnoliopsida; Poales; Poaceae. The record is from RNAcentral.